Molecule: ribosomal RNA, 404 nt
Filed under: Verrucomicrobiota bacterium
Lineage: Bacteria; Pseudomonadati; Verrucomicrobiota
Description: Verrucomicrobia bacterium partial 16S ribosomal RNA
Rfam family: Bacterial small subunit ribosomal RNA
Source: RNAcentral
UGGGGAAUAUUGCACAAUGGGCGCAAGCCUGAUGCAGCAACGCCGCGUGAACGAUGAAGGUCUUCGGUUCGUAAAGUUCUGUUGUAGGGGAAGAUAAUGACGGUAGACUGUGAGGAAGCCACGGCUAACUACGAGCCAGCAGCCGCGGUAAAACGUAGGUGGCAAGCGUUGUCCGGAAUUAUUGGGCGUAAAGCGCGCGCAGGUGGUUUAGAAAGUCUGAUGUGAAAGACCACGGAUCAACCGUGGAGGGUCAUUGGAAACUAAUAAACUUGAGUGCAGGAGAGAAAAGUGGAAUUCCUAGUGUAGCGAUGAAAUGCGUAGGGAUUAGGAGGAACACCGGUGGCGAAAGCGGCUUUUUGGCCUGCAACUGACACUGAGGCGCGAAAGCGUGGGGAGCAAACAGG